UCUCGGUAUGUUUUUAGAUACACCUUGUGUAUACUUCAUUCCUUCAUUCAAAAAUACGACUUGUAACAAAUGUGUUAUCGCUCGCGAAAUUUAAAACGUUAUGAAUUCUUUCCAUAUCAAUGAAGAGAAUAUGUAACAUGAUAUUAUAAAAAAUGCACCAUUGAAUUGAUAAAAUAUCGAGGAAAUCAAUUAGAAUAUUUGCGCUUCGAGUUAUAUUGCUUUCAAGAAAUAUUCAUAAGCUUUCAGGUCGUUAUAAAGUUAUAUUACUUCAGUCUAUCUGAAGUUAAUCAUUAAAAAUUAUACAAGACAGCUUGAAAUUGAUCAUUUGUAUCAUUUUAUCUCUUCAUUGCUAAUUGGGUUUAUGUCAUGAAUAAUAAUAUGAAUGAAUUUGAGAUCUGUGGAGCCCUGUGGUGAAUUCAAAACUACCAGAAAACAUACAGAAUGUUGACUUACUUCAACAAAACUAUUAGUGAUGAGAUGUUGGUACUUGAGUCUCACUUUAGAAUCCCUCACAAGUCUCAUAACACUAGCAUCAUCAACCAAAAUAUCACAACCGUGUG
Molecule: long non-coding RNA, 560 nt
Organism: Coccinella septempunctata (seven-spotted ladybird)
Lineage: Eukaryota; Metazoa; Arthropoda; Insecta; Coleoptera; Coccinellidae
Exons: 3
Source: RefSeq, a predicted model, not a curated record